UAACACGUGGGUAACCUGCCUUAUAGUGGGGGAUAGCCUUUCGAAAGGAAGAUUAAUACCGCAUAAGAUUGUAGUAUCGCAUGAUAUAGCAAUUAAAGGAGCAAUUCGCUAUAAGAUGGACCCGCGUCGCAUUAGCUAGUUGGUGAGGUAAUGGCUCACCAAGGCGACGAUGCGUAGCCGACCUGAGGGGGUGAUCGGCCACAUUGGGACUGAGACACGGCCCAGACUCCUACGGGAGGCAGCAUG
Molecule: ribosomal RNA, 246 nt
Filed under: uncultured bacterium
Lineage: Bacteria
Description: partial 16S ribosomal RNA
Rfam family: Bacterial small subunit ribosomal RNA
Source: RNAcentral